This 651-nucleotide ribosomal RNA is filed under the name Fistulinella viscida. RNAcentral describes it as "eukaryotic LSU rRNA". It matches the Rfam family "Eukaryotic large subunit ribosomal RNA", at positions 24 to 665 of the family's 3401-position model. The record is from RNAcentral. Lineage: Eukaryota; Fungi; Basidiomycota; Agaricomycetes; Boletales; Boletaceae.
ACCCCGCUGGACUUAAGCAUAUCAAUAAGCGGAGGAAAAGAAACUAACAAGGAUUCCCCUAGUAACUGCGAGUGAACAGGGAAGAGCUCAAAUUUUGAAUCUGGCAGUCUUUCGGCUGUCCGAGUUGUAAUCUAGAGAAGCGUCUUCCGCGUUGGACCGUGUACAAGUCUCCUGGAAGGGAGCGUCAUAGAGGGUGAGAAUCCCGUCUUUGACACGGACGCCCAGUGCUAUGUGAUGCGCUCUCGACGAGUCGAGUUGUUUGGGAAUGCAGCUCAAAUAGGGUGGUAAAUUCCAUCUAAAGCUAAAUAUAGGCGAGAGACCGAUAGCGAACAAGUACCGUGAGGGAAAGACGAAAAGAACUUUGGAAAGAGAGUUAAACAGUACGUGAAAUUGCUGAAAGGGAAACGCUUGAUGUCAGUCGCGUCGGCCGGGGAUCAACCUUGCUUCAUCGCUCGGUGCACUUCCUGGUCGAUGGGUCAGCAUCAGUUUCGUGCUCGCCGUACAAGGGCGGAGGGAACGUGGCACUCUUCGGAGUGUGUUAUAGCCCUUCGUCGUAUGCGGCGGUCGGGACUGAGGAACUCGGCACGGGCUUCGGCCUUGUGCUUAGGAUGCUGGCAUAAUGGCCUUAAGCGACCCGUCUUGAAACACGGA